GGGGGUGAAAGGUUUCGAUCUGGGUAGAUCGAGGCGGGAGUGGCAUGUGGAGGUUUCAGGAGGCCUCCUUAAACACCUGAACAUAUAAACGCAAACUCGAAUAGAGUAGCGGGAUUUCAGCUUGCUGGGAUUCCUGCUGGCGUAACAGUCCUCAACUAAUAAAAGUUGAGGCCUCCUUUAGUCAGGCCUACGGGGCUAAAGGAGUCGUGAAGUAGGAUAGUCUGGUAUUCUCGCUUUUGGGAUACCGGACGAAACUAAAGAAAGCUUUUCUCUCUCAAAUCCUGUUUAUUGGAGUUGAGUGAGAGAACCUAAAAAAUAAACUAAACAUGUAGAGGCUCUUGCUACGGGACUCAGGGACGCGAGUUCGAAUCUCGCCACCUCCACCA
Molecule: transfer-messenger RNA, 386 nt
Filed under: Candidatus Omnitrophota
Lineage: Bacteria; Pseudomonadati
Also listed under: 2 other names
Description: JAMXCY01 sp024543015 Standard tmRNA
Rfam family: transfer-messenger RNA
About the family: Bacterial tmRNA, also known as 10Sa RNA or SsrA, is named for its dual tRNA and mRNA-like properties. Its role is to liberate the mRNA from a stalled ribosome. To accomplish this part of the tmRNA is used as a reading frame that ends in a translation stop signal.
Source: RNAcentral